GGCGGACGGGUGAGUAACGCGUAAAGAACUUGCCCUUUAGACUGGGAUAACAGAGGGAAACUUCUGAUAAUACUGGAUAAGUUAGUAUAUCGCAUGAUAUGCAAAUGAAAGCUACGGCACUAAAGGAGAGCUUUGCGUCCUAUUAGCUAGUUGGUAAGGUAAGAGCUUACCAAGGCGAUGAUAGGUAGCCGGCCUGAGAGGGUGGACGGCCACAAGGGGACUGAGAUACGGCCCUUACUCCUACGGGAGGCAGCAGGC
Molecule: ribosomal RNA, 258 nt
Filed under: uncultured Leptotrichia sp.
Lineage: Bacteria; Fusobacteriati; Fusobacteriota; Fusobacteriia; Fusobacteriales; Leptotrichiaceae
Description: partial 16S ribosomal RNA
Rfam family: Bacterial small subunit ribosomal RNA
Source: RNAcentral